This 471-nucleotide ribosomal RNA is filed under the name uncultured bacterium. RNAcentral describes it as "bacterial SSU rRNA". It matches the Rfam family "Bacterial small subunit ribosomal RNA", at positions 355 to 825 of the family's 1533-position model. The record is from RNAcentral.
UGGGGAAUAUUGGACAAUGGGGGAACCCUGAUCCAGCAAUGCCGCGUGAGUGAAGAAGGCCUUCGGGUUGUAAAGCUCUUUCAGACGGAAAGAAACGGUUACGGCUAAUACCCGUGACUAAUGACGGUACCGUAAGAAGAAGCACCGGCUAACUACGUGCCAGCAGCCGCGGUAAUACGUAGGGUGCGAGCGUUAAUCGGAAUUACUGGGCGUAAAGCGUGCGCAGGCGGUUUGGUAAGACAGAUGUGAAAUCCCCGGGCUUAACCUGGGAAUGGCAUCGCAAACUGUGUUACUAGAGUACAGGAGAGGUAAGUGGAAUUUCCGGUGUAGCAGUGAAAUGCGUAGAGAUCGGAAGGAACACCAGAGGCGAAGGCGGCUUACUGGCCUGCUACUGACACUGAGGCACGAAAGCGUGGGGAGCAAACAGGAUUAGAUACCCGAGUAGUCCCUGAGCGGGCUGGCAAGGCGCAU